Molecule: non-coding RNA, 510 nt
Organism: Pelobates cultripes (western spadefoot toad)
Lineage: Eukaryota; Metazoa; Chordata; Amphibia; Anura; Pelobatidae
Source: the annotation of a GenBank genome assembly
CCUGCAUGUAGUGUCCAGGUACACAGUGCUCCCCUGCAUGUAGAGUCCAGGUACACAGCACUCCCCCUGCAUGUAGUGAACAGUAACACAGCGCUCCCCCUGCAUGUAGUGUCCAGUAACACAGUGCUCCCCCUGAAUGUAGUGUCCAGGUACACAGCGCUCCCCCUGCAUGUAGUGUCCAGUAACACAGUGCUCCCCCUGCAUGUAGUGUCCAGGUACACAGUGCUCCCCCUGCAUGUAGUGUCCAGGUACACAGUGCUGCCUCUGCAUGUAGAGUCCAGGUACACAGCACUCCCCCUGCAUGUAGUGUCCAGAUACACAGUGCUCCCCCUGCAUGUAGUGUCCAGUAACACAGUGCUCCCCCUGCAUGUAGUGUCCAGGUACACCGUGCUCCCUCUGCAUGUAGAGUCCAGGUACACAGUGUGCCCCCUGCAUGUAGUGUCCAGGUACACUGUGUGCCCCCUGCAUGUAGUGUCCAGGUACACCGUGCUCCCUCUGCAUGUAGAGUCC